Molecule: long non-coding RNA, 3737 nt
Filed under: Panax ginseng (ginseng)
Lineage: Eukaryota; Viridiplantae; Streptophyta; Magnoliopsida; Apiales; Araliaceae
Description: long non-coding RNA (PGIN_LNC016683)
Source: RNAcentral
ACUUAAUAAAAUCAUCCACUACAUAAUCAUUCAUUAUCUUUAUAAUCAACCAUCUAAAGCUACCACAGUUCCUUCAAUCAAAGUAUAUAUCUACAUAUAUAGAGAGUACACUUCAUAAUUUCGUCCUUUGUCUUCCGUAAAUGUAACACAAAAAUUUGAUACCCAGUAUUAUAAGGCAGGUCGUAGAAGUAGUCUUCCUGCACAUAUUUAAAAAUAAUAACAGUCAGGAAAAUGAAGCAAAUAGGUCACCAGAGGCACUUAGUGCCAAAAUCAAUACACAAAGACAAUAGAGUUACUACGUGGUACUAAUAUAUACAGUAUUGCUCAUAAGCAGAAAAAGACAAUAGAAUUACUACGUGGUACUAAUGUACACUAUAAAUUAGGAUACUUGUGUAUAUAAGCCAAUUAAGAAUGAAUCAAGAAAUCAUUAUCCCAAAAUCGAGUUCUUAUUUUCUACAGAUUACAUGGACCAUCUUUAUUACAAGGUCAUUUGACUUGAUACUCCAUCCUCAAAAGCAUGUCCAGAAAUACACUAAGAUUUUAUCCUAAAAAAGAAGUCUAAAGUACACAAACUAAAUGUGAAAUAUGACAUGCAUAAUAAUUUAACCCAAAGUGAACAUAUCCCCGUAAGAACAUUCCACUCUCAAGUUAAUUACGUUAUUUGUGUGGGUCCAAAUAUUAUUAGAACAAUUUUUAUUCUCUCUCAUCUAAUUUGCCAACCUUAAAUUUGUCAUCCAAUUGUACUCUUAGACAUCCUUUUGAGGACACAGGUAGUAACCAACUGAUCUAAUCACACAUUGAGGCCCCAAUCUGACACAUUUAGUGCAAAUUCAUGGUUGAGUGUUGCACCAUAAAAAUCGCGUAUUAUGAACGUUGCACAUUGUCAAAGUCAUUCAUAAUGGUCUUUGAAUUUUGAUACAGAGCACAAAGCAUUGAUCCUUGUGUAAAAUCAAUUCAAAAUGACCUUAAGAAGCAUUGAUACAGCCAAUGGCAAUGUUCCCAAUCCUAAUUUUUUUUAACUCAUCAGCUUUUGCAACCGAUCUCGCACUAUGCCCACAUCAUAGGUUGGGCACUUAGUUUAAUAAUGGCACUUAAAGGUAAUCAUAGAGAAAGAAAACAAAGUACCUUCUUUUUUAUUUAAAUGGUAUUUGCUUUAUUAUUUUUUUAUGGGGAUUAAAACUACCUUUACAAUCAAACUUCGUACAGUACAUACCAAUUGGUAUGUCUCUCUUUUCAAUGUAAGAUGUAGUAUAUGAUAAGAACAGAAAUACAGUGUAUACCUAUUGGUAUGGCUCCUGCUGCCAUGUACUUUACAACACUAAUGUCAAAAUGCUCAUCUAUUAUGGAAUGGAUUCCUGCAACUGCACCACCUAAGAGUCUCACCAAAUCUCUGCGGUUCAAACGAAAAAAUAAAAUAAAGUAAAAAAAUAACUUCUCAAUGAAGGAAAACAUCUGAGAAAUUUAGUAACAGACUAUAACCCCAAAUCAAGUGAUAGAUAUGGCACAAGCCUCCAUAACUGCUCAUACAAAGGCAAACAUAAAAAUCACAACAAAUGACCGAGUCAAAAAAAGGAAUAUAAUAAAUAUAUACACACGCACACACAAAAACAAACACAAACAACAUAUAGAUUUCUCAAUUGACAAUAGCAAGCUUUCAAAUUUAAUUUUUGUUUCAUAAGUAAAGCUUUCAAAAUAGUUAGGGUCUUAAACCCUGUAGAUUUCCUCCAAUAUAGUACACAAUUCAGUUAUACUCAUCGUCCAAAUCAACCAACAAGGAUUUCAUAUCCUUGCAAUAUGUUCAAACUAAGAAUUCAAACAAUUAAAAAGUACUGCUAUAUUUGUUUAUGGCAUGUCAUAAAUUAUGAAUGCACUUUAUCAAAAAUUCAUACAAAAAUUUUAAAUUUCUACUUCAAUGAGACAGAGCCCCUAAACUUCUAUUUCAAAUCAGCUACCAAUUAAGUCAUAGUAAGGAGGAGGAAAUGCAUGUAGACUUUUAUGGCUAGUCUGAGAGAAAAAGUUCAUACCAUAAAUAGUUUACUAUGUGAUCAGAUUUAUAAAACCCUCCCCAAUUUUUUCAAUAAGCAAAUCUCUGGUCCAACUUGCAUGAAUACUCAAUACACCAUUGGCAAACAUUCAGGAAAACAAGAAGAAACCCCAAAUCCAAAAGACUUUAACUGAACAACCUCAAAUGAUACAUAAUUUAGCAUCAUACUGUAAUAAAAAUAAGAAAAAUAUUACACUAUCCGACAUACUAGCAUUGGAUCAUACCACCUUUUAUAAUCACUUUGUGCAUCUAGCAUGAAAGGGGAAUGUUUUAGCACCUUGGUAGUGCAAAGAGCUUAGCAAUUGAUCCAAUGCAAAAAAAAAAAUUAAAAACAAAAUAAAAAAAAUAGGUGCAUAUACUUGUUACAUAUACCAUGUCACAGUGUUGCCCCCUAUUUAAUAAGCAUCUGAAAGAUUCAAGUCUUGAUAAUCUUCAUGACAUUCAAAAAACAAAGGAAAGAAAACAAAAUGUAAUAAAAAGAAAAACAAACUUUGGUAUCAAAUAAUGUACCGAGUGCAACAAGACUCAGCUGAGCCAGCCUCAACUUGACUUAGGUAUCUUAAUUACAACAUAAAAGCAUGACAAACAAAAGAAUUAUUCCACCCCCAUAAAGCAAGAUUAUAAAAAUCACUCCUAAACAACCUCCUAUGAUUCCACAAUAUAUAAUACAUAUAUGUAGUGUACUGAUAAGUGAUGACCAACAAAAGACAUUCCACAGAAGUAAUGAACAUGUUGCAAUAAUAGAAUUCAUAAAUAAUUCAUUCAAUCUUUUACAUUUCUCUUUUCUUGGCAUGGAAAGCCAACAUUAAAUUUUAAUGUUACCGGCUACAUUAUUAAGAGAAGGAAAAAAAUUUGGUGCAUGAGUCGGUCCUCAUGAACCAGUUAAACUCUCUAGAUCAGAAGUCUAGCGCAAGAGAUUAAUUUACAGAGCAAAAAAGAUAUUGUCACUAUAGAAACUAAUCAAGACCACAUUUUGCUUCUGUUUUUCCCCUCGAAAAAGCUAAUUAAAAGGAUUGAGAAAGGGGAAAAGGUACCAUUGAAACAGUAGAAGCAUAUAGUAGUUCAGACAUUAGUUUUCAACAAAAUACAAAAUUAGAUUUAAAACAUUAAAGUUUUAAGGAAAAGGGGCAAACAAUCAAGAACAAAACUUCAUAUGUAAAAAUGUGGUUCUUGAAAAACACACACAAAAAGGAAGAUUAAAUAAAAAUAUAAAAUAUCUCACAAACAAAAUGAUUGAAGAAUUAAUCGAAUUACUGCAUACCAACAACAAAUUAAACAGAAAAAGACCAAACCCGUGAAAACAUAAAGGGAUUGAGAACAAACCCAAAAAUACAAUUGUAGUGAAUCUGUAGUUGCUUCGUUGAAGUCGCCAAACUUUCAACUUAGCUUCAACAUAUUCAUAGGGAUUGGAUUUGGAUGUCCAUGACUGAUUUGGAGAACUAAUAGAGGGUAGGUGAAUGAGUUGGAGAGAAAUUAGAGGGGAGACGACUGGUAGGGAGGCACAAGUGAGGGGAGGCGCCGCUGAGGGUAGGGACAAUUGAAGGAGAAAGGGUACGAUUGAGGGAGAUAGGGCACUACUGAGGCGCGAUUGAGCGAGAUAGGGCUCGAACGAAUGUAUUUUCUAAUCUGAGGACUGAGGGAGUAAAACUUUAGCGAGAGGGCGGGCUUGAAAAUUAUGGGAGGGAAUUUUUUG